RNAcentral lists this ribosomal RNA (492 nucleotides) under uncultured bacterium. RNAcentral describes it as "partial 16S ribosomal RNA". It matches the Rfam family "Bacterial small subunit ribosomal RNA", at positions 29 to 507 of the family's 1533-position model. The record is from RNAcentral.
AGUGAACGCUGGCGGUAGGCCUAACACAUGCAAGUCGAACGGCAGCACAGUAAGAGCUUGCUCUUACGGGUGGCGAGUGGCGGACGGGUGAGGAAUACAUCGGAAUCUACUUUUUCGUGGGGGAUAACGUAGGGAAACUUACGCUAAUACCGCAUACGACCUACGGGUGAAAGCAGGGGAUCUUCGGACCUUGCGCGAUUGAAUGAGCCGAUGUCGGAUUAGCUAGUUGGCGGGGUAAAGGCCCACCAAGGCGACGAUCCGUAGCUGGUCUGAGAGGAUGAUCAGCCACACUGGAACUGAGACACGGUCCAGACUCCUACGGGAGGCAGCAGUGGGGAAUAUUGGACAAUGGGCGCAAGACUGAUCCAGCCAUACCGCGUGGGUGAAGAAGGCCUUCGGGUUGUAAAGCCCUUUUGUUGGGAAAGAAAAGCAGCAGGUUAAUACCCCGCUGUUCUGACGGUACCAAAAGAAUAAGCACCGGCUAACUUCGUG